AUAAUCUUUAAUACGGUCCAGAGAGGCUGACAAGAUUGAUAGUUUAGCUAUGUUUGUAUUUAUAUUUAAGAUAACUCAAACUUCUUGUCAGUAGGCAAGAGGUUUUUUUAUU
Clostridium novyi NT is the source of this 112-nucleotide regulatory RNA element. It matches the Rfam family "PyrR binding site". Rfam says of the family: This family represents the PyrR binding site and terminator structure. This RNA structure is found upstream of a variety of genes involved in pyrimidine biosynthesis and transport. The record is from Rfam. NCBI's taxonomy places the organism in Bacteria, Bacillati, Bacillota, Clostridia, Eubacteriales, Clostridiaceae.